Molecule: ribosomal RNA, 477 nt
Filed under: Streptococcus parasanguinis
Lineage: Bacteria; Bacillati; Bacillota; Bacilli; Lactobacillales; Streptococcaceae
Description: bacterial SSU rRNA
Rfam family: Bacterial small subunit ribosomal RNA
Source: RNAcentral
GAUGAACGCUGGCGGCGUGCCUAAUACAUGCAAGUAGAACGCUGAAGCUUGGUGCUUGCACCGAGCGGAUGAGUUGCGAACGGGUGAGUAACGCGUAGGUAACCUGCCUCUUAGCGGGGGAUAACUAUUGGAAACGAUAGCUAAUACCGCAUAAAAGUCGACAUCGCAUGAUGUUGACUUGAAAGGUGCAAUUGCAUCACUAAGAGAUGGACCUGCGUUGUAUUAGCUAGUUGGUGAGGUAACGGCUCACCAAGGCGACGAUACAUAGCCGACCUGAGAGGGUGAUCGGCCACACUGGGACUGAGACACGGCCCAGACUCCUACGGGAGGCAGCAGUAGGGAAUCUUCGGCAAUGGGGGCAACCCUGACCGAGCAACGCCGCGUGAGUGAAGAAGGUUUUCGGAUCGUAAAGCUCUGUUGUAAGAGGAGAACGAGUGUGAGAGUGGAAAGUUCACGCUGUGACGGUAUCUACCAGAA